RNAcentral lists this unclassified non-coding RNA (378 nucleotides) under plant metagenome. RNAcentral's name for it is "partial contains 5.8S ribosomal RNA, internal transcribed spacer 2, and large subunit ribosomal RNA". The stretch from base 1 to 105 matches the Rfam family "5.8S ribosomal RNA", at positions 50 to 154 of the family's 154-position model. The record is from RNAcentral.
GAAAUGCGAUAAGUAAUGUGAAUUGCAGAAUUCAGUGAAUCAUCGAAUCUUUGAACGCACCUUGCGCUCCUUGGUAUUCCUUGGAGCAUGCCUGUUUGAGUAUCAUGAAAUCUUCAAAGUAAAUCUUUUGUUAACUCAAUUGGUUUCUACUUUGGUAUUGGAGGUCUUUGCAGCUUCACACCUGCUCCUCUUUGUUCAUUAGCUGGAUCUCAGUGUUAUGCUUGGUUCCACUCGGCGUGAUAAGUUAUCUAUCGCUGAGGACACUGUAAAAGGUGGCCAAGGUAAAUGCAGAUGAACCGCUUCUAAUAGUCCAUUGACUUGGACAAUACUUUUAUGAUCUGAUCUCCAAUCAGGUAGGACUACCCGCUGAACUUACGC